CGGGGCGUGGCGCAGUCUGGAAGCGCACUGGCAUGGGGGGCCAGGGGUCCCCGGUUCAAAUCCGGGCGCCCCGA
This 74-nucleotide transfer RNA is filed under the name bacterium. Its description in RNAcentral is "tRNA-Pro". It matches the Rfam family "tRNA". Rfam says of the family: Transfer RNA (tRNA) molecules are approximately 80 nucleotides in length. Their secondary structure includes four short double-helical elements and three loops (D, anti-codon, and T loops). RNAcentral also lists the same sequence under 1 other name. The record is from RNAcentral.